This 1662-nucleotide long non-coding RNA is filed under the name Daucus carota (carrot). RNAcentral describes it as "long non-coding RNA (DCAR_LNC000343)". Lineage: Eukaryota; Viridiplantae; Streptophyta; Magnoliopsida; Apiales; Apiaceae. The record is from RNAcentral.
UACGAAACAAAUGUACUCACAUACCGACUAUCACACAAUAUUUAACUAAAACCAACAAUAAUAUAUAGACAAAUUAGGUCUAUAAUAAUUAUGACAAAAUUUCAAACUUCAGACCGCUAUACAACUCUCCCCUUUUCUUGCCUUUGCUUGGUAUCACGCCUUCAAUGCUCGAUCCUAUUAUAAGCAAAAAGAUACUACUUUAGUAUCCUUCCGAAACGACUAUCCUAUUUCUACCCUUUCGCGAUAUAUAUAUACACGGCACAUUAUAUAGCACAUAACAAGUUGCACACAUUAUAGUUUUAUAACUUAAAACCCACUCAGAAUAUUAUUUAACACGAGAACGCGUCUUAAGUUAAUAUUUCUACGGAAAAUUCGGCAUGACCUAUUCGUAAAUAGGACUAUCCCCCUGUUUUCAAAUCAAUCCAAUCAAGCUCUUUAACCAAAUAAAAUACUAACAUAAAGAAAAUCUGCCUCGACAUGCAGUAAAUCACAUAAGAAAAGUACCCGCCCCGACAUGCGGCACCUAACACAUAAUGAUAAAUAAUCCGCCCAGACAUGCGGCACCUAAACACAUAAUGAUUGAAAGAAACUAACAGCUUACCUUUAAAACAGAAAGUAAUUCAAUAUUAAUACAUUAUACUAUCAAGAAUAACACUCUGACAUUUAACACGUAGCACUUAGCAGGUAUCACAUAUUUCCAUACAUUUACUUACCACUUAUCAUAAUACUCAAUUUAGAUACUAUUCAAAUCAAAUAUAUACAAGUUGAAUUAAAUAAGCAUAUCACUAUAACUAUUUAAGAUAUCGCAUAUUUAUAUUAUUAAUAUUAUUAUUUACUAUUAUUACUACUAGUGCAAGUAAUAAUAAUAAUAAAGAAUAAUACUAAUAUUUAUUAAUAUUCGACAUCCUAAAAUUACCAAGUAAACACAGUUUCACACAUUAAGAUCAAUAAUAAUGCUAUGUAUUACUGCUAUUACUAACAAAUCACAUAAAUAUUAUUUAUAGAUUUUAUAGAAAUAUCACGAAUCAGUAACUAUAUAAAUUCGAUUAAUAGUCCGAUAAUUAUAGGAUACACUCCCGUAUAAUUUAAAAAUCUAAAUUUUAUUUGAAAAUCGGGCAGCACCUCCUCUAUUUGUCGGACUACCAGUCGAUAUCAUAUCGACACCAACAGUCACAAUCAAGCCUGCAAUCAAUCCAAACAACUUACUUUACAACUAAUAAUUAAACUCGAUACUCAAUCAAAUGACCCAACAACCGAAAUAAUAAAUAAAAGCGUAUCGAGAAAUCCAUAUCAAGACUCGAGCCACCCGCAUAAUUUACACAGCCCAGCAAUCAACACACGGCCAACUCGGCCCCACACGAACUCACCCGACACACACACUCGAAUACACAGUAUACACACGCUGCACACACUCUUACACGCACAAAAUACACGCGUAUAUACACGCAACACAGCAGCGAAACAAGGGGGAAAAACAGGGAAAUCGAGGGAGAGAAACCAGAGCAAGAGAGAGAUGCCGAGUCUGGUGGCUGACGGCAGCGAGAGAGACCCAGGGAGAGGUGAAGAACGGCUGAGGAAGUGGUGGUUCGCCGGAGUAAGAGCCGCGCGGAGAGAGACGGCGAGAGAGAGACUUGGCCAGUGGAGGGAGAUUCAGGCGAGNNN